Molecule: ribosomal RNA, 479 nt
Filed under: uncultured bacterium
Lineage: Bacteria
Description: partial 16S ribosomal RNA
Rfam family: Bacterial small subunit ribosomal RNA
Source: RNAcentral
GAUGAACGCUAGCGGGAGGCCUAACACAUGCAAGCCGAGCGGUAGAGUCUCUUCGGAGACUUGAGAGCGGCGCACGGGUGCGGAACACGUGUGCAACCUGCCUUUAUCUGGGGGAUAGCCUUUCGAAAGGAAGAUUAAUACCCCAUAAUAUACUGGAUGGCAUCAUCUGGUAUUGAAAACUCCGGUGGAUAGAGAUGGGCACGCGCAAGAUUAGAUAGUUGGUGAGGUAACGGCUCACCAAGUCAGCGAUCUUUAGGGGGCCUGAGGGGGUGAUCCCCCACACUGGUACUGAGACACGGACCAGACUCCUACGGGAGGCAGCAGUGAGGAAUAUUGGACAAUGGGUGAGAGCCUGAUCCAGCCAUCCCGCGUGAAGGACGACGGCCCUAUGGGUUGUAAACUUCUUUUGUAUAGGGAUAAACCUAGAUACGUGUAUCUAGCUGAAGGUACUAUACGAAUAAGCACCGGCUAACUCCGUG